Molecule: unclassified non-coding RNA, 2106 nt
Filed under: Hevea brasiliensis (rubber tree)
Lineage: Eukaryota; Viridiplantae; Streptophyta; Magnoliopsida; Malpighiales; Euphorbiaceae
Source: RNAcentral
UGUAUCUAUGAUUCAUGGUGAACUAGAUUUAUCUUAGAAUUUCACUUCUUCCUUUAAGAUGCAGGUCAACCUUUAAUUCAACAAUCCAUCAGAUAAAUGAUAAUCCAACAAAUAAAGAUGACCUGUUUAUAUUCUGUCACAUACUACCAAAAAGACGAACCUUUACAAACUCAAACAACAAAGAUAAAAGUGUCACAGAAUUUCCUGUCCCUUGUACCCAAAAAAAGCUAUGCAACAUUUACUUCUUGUUUUUAGCCUUCAAUUCUGUAGGAUUUGCGUCUGCAGCAGCCUUAGCAAGAGUUGUGGGUUUGAAGACACUCUUUGGAUUAAGAGCGUUUCUUAUCUUGAAAACAGUCCAAGCAGUGCAAAAGGCAUGUCCUGCAGCAUCUAGUCCUUCAUUUGUUGCCUUCGCUGCCUGUUCGCCAUAUCUACAAUACAUCAUCCAAUCAAACAAUCAACUACGAACGAUUAUGCAAACGUUGACAACUGAAUUCAAAAGAUAUAUUUUCCUAGAAUUAUGAGUUUAAAUCAAUCUCAGAGAUUGGUGUAUAUCUCUAUAUAAUCCCCUUGUUUUGCCCUCCCGAAACGUGUUUUUGGGUUGGAUGUGAACCUAUCUGACUCUGCUGUAUUGCUGUUUAUGUGAAUUCCAAUAAAGGUCACAAAGCAGGGUAAAAUUUAAGGUAAGGUUCUCUCUAUAACCCAGUGCGGGAUAGAUUCUCAAAUUAGUGGAACAAGACAUGACUCAAAAUCACUAGCAACUUCACAGAAAGGCGAUGUUCCACUACGGACAAACAUUAUCAACAUAAAGCUAAAUUCCACCUAGCCCAACAAAAUGAUAUCCAUUUUUGAAUGAACACACUAACAAUGGUGAAGAUGCUAUAGAGUCGAAUUGAGAUAUACCUCUGUGAGACGAGGCCUGUUGUCACUACUGAUGACGUUGACAUGACAUUCUUUCCAGCAACCUCAACAGCAUCACAGACCUUGUUAAAUCCUUCCAAAGAAGCAAGCACAAUUUCUCCAGGCAACAUGCUAAAAAAUUUCUUUCCAGCUUUAGAGUUGACAAUUGCACUUGUAACGAAUCCUGAGAUUUUCACAACCCCUGUAAGGAUUCCAGUGGCCACUUCCUCGGACAUUCUUGUUAACCUCUUAACCCUUUUGAUUCUCCUCAUUGCUGCUGGGCUAAUCUCCGUAUCUGAUCUCUCUCCCAUCCUAUUCUUCAAGAACUCAUUUCCCCACUUCAAUCUAUCCACAGUCACAUCCCCACACCACAAUAUCCCCUUAAUCAGCUGCCCAGACCCAGCUGCUAUCAUCCUCGAGACAGACCCACUAUAAUCCUCUACAUUUGGAGCCAAUACAGUCCAAUAUGCCGCCGAACACUCCUCCAACUCUUUCUUCUUCUCCUUCGUCUUUAACUCCUCCGGCGAUAUCCCCCUCGCCGUUUUCCAUUCUAUCAACUGCCAGUCCCCUCUCUCAUUCACUUCUUGCACAGUGAAAGAACUAUAAGACUCCAAUAUAUUAUCGAAUUCCUUCAAUAAAGCCUCCUGUCCUUUCGACGCAAUUGUAACUCCAUAAUUCAAUAACUCCAUUUCCACCUCAUUUUCAACCUCACUCUCAUCUUUACCUUCAUUCACCCCUUUUUCAUUUCCAGGAACGCGAAGAUUAAAGAAGUAAUGGGAUUCAUCGAGUUUCACAGAUGCCUCAUCUUUGGCCAAAGGCCACUGAAUAUCAUCUCCAACACGAGCAAGAACAGCAACUACGGUAUCACCCUGUUUGAGACAGACGAUUGUGAGGUCACCACAAGCGAGCUGAAUGCUACGGUCUUUCUCAAUCAGAUGGACGAAUGCACCUGGGAUGGUGAUGAGAGGUUCUUCAUAAGGUUGAGAGUUCGCAGACAGCAAACCGGCGUCGUAUUCAGGAAGGAGGUUCUCGGCCUCUUCUUCCAUGUCAAUAGAAGGGUACAAAGAAGAAGAGGAAGUUGAAGUAGCAGAAAUGGCUUCUGGGUUUGAGAGUUCGACUUUUGGGUAGAGAGAAUUGGGAGAAGACAUUUUUCUGAAGUUGAUUUGCAGAGAAGGAUUAAUAUUUGGACAAUUUCCUUAAGAUUGAAGA